Long non-coding RNA from Oncorhynchus nerka (sockeye salmon), 605 nucleotides. RefSeq lists it as uncharacterized. NCBI's taxonomy places the organism in Eukaryota, Metazoa, Chordata, Actinopteri, Salmoniformes, Salmonidae. The record is from RefSeq and is a predicted model, not a curated record. The transcript is spliced from 4 exons.
AACCAGCCUGAACAGAGUGAUACACCCUUCAACACACCCUCCCCAGGUACACAAACACACACCACCCUCCAGACCCCCUUCAACCAGCCUGAACAGAGUGAUACACCCUUCAACACACCCUCCCCAGGUGGCAGUAUGCGUUCGUUCGGCACAGCGAGGGCCAGGUAUGACUUCUCAGCCAGAGACCGUACAGAGCUGUCUCUGAGAGAAGGAGACACAGUCAAGGUCCUGUCUAAGAAAGCUCACAAUGGAUGGUGGAAAGGAGAGGUCUAUGGACGGGUCGGUCUGUUCCCAGCUAACUAUGUAGAAGAGGAUUACUCUGAAUACUGCUGAUGUCGCCUCAGACCUUCACCUGUGUGACUACAGUGUGUCCCAAUUCAAUCACCCUUCCCUUGCCCCUAACCAGUGCAGUCAAAAAUGUGAUUUUUACUGUUUUGUUUUUUUCAACAAUUUCUCCACACUAUGAGGUUGAAAUAACACUCUGAAAUUGUAUAAAAUUACGAUAAUGUCCUUUUGAAAACAAUGCUUGGAAUUUCAGCCUGUUCAGGUGGGAUGGAGUUUUUGAGCCCAGAGCAUGACAUCACAAUUUGAUCUGAUUUUUCUGA